GGAGGCGGGACUCCGGACGCCGCCGCUCAGAAGGGUAAGAAAGGCCUCACUGUGCGAGCAGCAGCCUGCAGAUGGCAAUAAAGGACAGUGUAGCAGACGGCAACAAUGCAGUGGAUUGUAAAUUGUGACUUACUGUAUGUCUGACAGAAUCUGAGUCUGAGUCCUCUGAGGAGAGCGACGGGAAACAGAAGCGAGAGCACCAGGAGGCUGCGGCAGAGACUGUCAGCAGUUUGGGUGAGAGCCACCAAAAGCACUGAAAUCACAUGCGAGAGCAGCCCCGCGGCUUCCUGCUGUAAUUUCCCAUUUUCUCACACGUCCUCUGCAGGUGAGGCCAGUCAGGACGAGCCCACGCAGCAAGGUGAAACUCCCCCCAGAACACAUUUCAGUACUGCGCUUACCACACACACACGCACACACUAAAAUCCUCCUCCAUUUUUUUUUUUUUUUUUUUUUUUCACUUUGCUGUCUGGUGGAAACAGUGUGACUAAGAUUUCAAUGAAGCUCACUCCUCACUCAGAAGUACCGGCUGAGGCAAGCUGUGCCGAAGUGCUUUGAGUAACUGCAGUUAAGUUUAAAUUGUAGGUUAUGCAACAAGCUGAAUUGAAAAAAAAAAAAACAGAGGCGGUCACAGCCGGCCUCAGCUGGAUUGAAAUAGUGUCAAAAGAAGGAAAAAAAUAGUCUUUUAUAGUCAAUUGGUUCAAGGUCAAAACAAAUUUUACAACUUGCAAGCUUGUAAACAAAAACACCCAAAGUGGUAUUUUUGUCACUUUAAUUUGCACUUAUAAAAAA
Long non-coding RNA from Salarias fasciatus (jewelled blenny), 789 nucleotides. RefSeq lists it as uncharacterized. The transcript is spliced from 3 exons. The record is from RefSeq and is a predicted model, not a curated record. Lineage: Eukaryota; Metazoa; Chordata; Actinopteri; Blenniiformes; Blenniidae.